Long non-coding RNA from Balaenoptera ricei (Rice's whale), 2037 nucleotides. RefSeq lists it as uncharacterized. Lineage: Eukaryota; Metazoa; Chordata; Mammalia; Artiodactyla; Balaenopteridae. The record is from RefSeq and is a predicted model, not a curated record. The transcript has 4 exons.
AGUGCGGGGGCGCGUAGCGCGCGGCCGCCCGCGCACCUGCUUCGCUCGCUCAUGCCCGGCGCCCCCCCCACCCCCCACCCCCACCCCUCGGUCCCCGGGAACUCGGCAGCACCACCAUCCCGCCGUCCCAGGUGCCUCCGGCCACCCAGGCGCCUCGGCCACCCCGGCAUCUCCGGCGCCCCAGGCCACCCCAGCGCCCCCGACCUUGGCCACCCGGUUGCAGCCGCCCUUCUCCCUCUGCGCCCCAGGUUGAGAUCGAUCCGUGGCGAGAUGGUGUCAGGGAAACUGGUGACCAACAGAGGACGCCAGUGGUCCAGGAUUGAAUUUGGAAUUACACUUUCAAGGCUCUUACAAAGAGCGUGUGGAUCAGCGGUGGGAAGCGGCGAGACCACGUAGAAAACGGGCGGAGAUUCUUAACCACUGCACCACCGGGGGGGAAGCCCCUACCAGCAUCAUCAUCUAAGUAGCGGACAAGGGAAGCCCAGGGAGAAUGUCUAAAGUCGCAGACCUCCCCGUGCAGUUGGAGAAAAGGACAUGUUGAUGGACUUCUGCAAAUGGAGAGGACUGUUAUUCUAGCCCCUUGUGGUAAAAGCCUGAGGGCCUGACUGCUGCUGCCCUCGCAGGCUUCUUCCUCGGGGCCAGUUCUGUUCCUGUUUCCAGAGCUGCAGACCCUCUGCAGAAGCUUCAUAAGCCAGGAUGGCACUCCUGCCCGGAUUCAAGUCUGCCACCUCGGAAUGUACCAGAAGGGCUAACGGGUUUGGGCAGCUGUGUGCAUUUCUCAUCCCGCUCAGAAGGGGAAACGUUGGGCAUGGACCGCAAGACCUCUGUGGGUGUGAAACACUCUGGUCUUGCGCAGGGAACUAGCUGAGACCCGCUGAUGAUUUGGGAGCUGACAUUAGAUAGAAGUAGCCCCGAGUGCCCAAUGACAAGAGCGGUGACCCUGGGGGGUCUGCCACGUCCCUCUCCUUUGCCUUCUGGCUCGAAGCUCGCCUCCCUUCCUCUAUUCUGUUUGCUUUGCUUCUUAUUUCACUUCCCUCAUCCUGUUUCUCUUAUUUCUGAGAAAAUAUCCUGGGUCACCUCUCAUUUAAAUUCACUGACAGCUGUGUACCCACAGAGCCUGCACUACCGUUGAAGUCAUCUUCCCGGGUACCCGGGCUCCUGUCCCCUGCUCUCAGGUUCCUUAGGACUUCUGGGGAUUCCACAGUGUCCUCUCACAGAAAAGCAGCCCUUUUAUUUUGAGGGGCUGCCUCUCCCCAUGUCUAGAAGCAUGGUUUUUGGUGGAGGCUGCACUUACAUCCCUCAGUCAGAUGCCACAAGGCAAAUGGGUCCUUCCAGGAAUGGAUGUGUGACCCACCCCGGCCAGCAGGAGCGCUUCCUGGGGGAUUUUUCUAUGUGGAGCUGGCAGGGAAGACAGGUGUCCUCUGUGGUCUUAAAACCGCAGGUUGUAGACCUGGAGAGGCUUCCAGCCUCGUGGAAGAGGGUGAAAGACUCCCUCUGUAAUGGAGCAGGACCCUAUGGGGCCAUCUCAGGACAGACCACCCCAUGUCUUCCACCUGCUUCUUGUCUGUAGAAAAACUUUAUCAGGGAAUAAAUUUAAUCAGAGAAGUGAAGAAGUGCAGACACAAAGGAAAAUAGUCAAACAAGACAAAAUAAUAAUAGUUUAGCCAUUAAACAAAGUCAAGGACCUUUAGUUCCUCCUCAAGGGCUAUGGUUAAUAUUCUGAGCUAUAUCCUUUGAGAUAUUUUGCAGAUACUGAAGCCCCCAUCAGGUGGAAAAAGUUAACGACAUGAUCACCAGACUGUAGCCAUGACAUAAGCUGUUCCACCUUGCACAAUACCAAGAACUGGCCUCAAGGAAAUGGGAACAAACGGACCCUGGAAUUGAAGGUUAAAUGUACUUAAAAGCAUCAAUAUGACAUCGAUCAGACCAUUGCAUGACUAACAUCAAGGUGAUUUUUGGAGUUGUUCUGUACGUGGCCACUCCCCAGCCUCUGCACCCCUGAAACUCCCCUUUAAAAGUUCUUGCCCCUGAUCAACA